UACGGGGGGAGCAAGCGUUGUUCGGAUUUACUGGGCGUAAAGCGCGCGCAGGCGGCCUUUUAAGUCUGGCGGUGAAAUGCCGGGGCUCAACCCCGUUGCAUGCCGCGGAUACUGGGAGGCUGGAGACGAGUAGAGGCAAGCGGAAUUCCGGGUGUAGCGGUGGAAUGCGUAGAGAUCCGGAAGAACACCGGAGGCGAAGGCGGCUUGCUGGGCUUGGUCUGACGCUGAGGCGCGAAAGCGUGGGGAGCGAACAGG
Molecule: ribosomal RNA, 255 nt
Filed under: uncultured bacterium
Lineage: Bacteria
Description: partial 16S ribosomal RNA
Rfam family: Bacterial small subunit ribosomal RNA
Source: RNAcentral